AAAUUUUUGGGAGAGAGUAAACUACAUCAAACCUGGUCGAGUGGUCGACGGCACUAAUACACAACUUUGUGCAAUUGCAUUAGAGGGAUUUGCGACAUUAAACCCAGAGAGGUGGUCGAUGGCAGUUUAAGCGUCGUAGGUAUCCUAGUAAACUACUACCAGAGAGGGCAGAGGCAGCUGUACUACCAUGGAAACAUAGAGUAAAGUUCUUCUCUUUUUUCAAUCUAUUUCUUUUAUAUUUCCAUACCCAAUAAAAAAAAGUUACAUUUUUCAUUUGCAGCAACAUGCUAGCUCGAAAACUCUACCCAUCGUACAAGCUCAAACGCUUGCUUUCUGUUUAUCUUUUCAAUUCUUCUCACAUUUUUACUUCAAACUUUACCUCUUUUUCUACUUGUACUUCUUCAGCAACUGUAAUAUCAAACCCCUGUUUUCAAAACCCUCUUCUUCAAUUUCUACCAUGUUCACCAUUUUCAUUGCAAAUCAAUAAAAAAUUCUCUUCACAAUCCUUGGAUUUAAUUAGAGAAGGUAAUUUUGAUGAAGUAGCAUGUCAAGGCCACCAAAUCUGUCCUGGUUGUGGUGUCUAUAUGCAAGGUUUAGACCCUAAAUUGCCUGGCUUUUAUAUCAAACCCACCCUUAAAAACCCAGAUUACAAACUGCCCAUUAGUCGAAAAUUUGUCAUUGAUGAGCCCGAAGUGUCGAAUUCGCUUAAAAGGGGUGUUCUUAAUGAGCUUGUAGAACCCCCAAACCCUCCCUUAAACCCUAAUUUAUGUGAAAAGCCUGUUGUUUGUGCUAGGUGUCAUUCUUUAAGACAUUAUGGGAUGGUUAAAGAUGCUAGUGUGGAGAACUUACUGCCAGAUUUUGAUUUUGAUCAUACUGUUGGUAGGAAGCUGGCCACUGCUUCUGGUGGUAGGUCUGUGGUUUUGCUGGUUGUCGAUGCAGCUGACUUUGAUGGGUCGUUCCCGAAAAGGGUUGCCAAGUUGGUUUCAUCUACCAUUGAUCAGAAUUUGACGGCGUGGAAGGAAGGGAAAUCGGGGAAUGUUCCUAGGAUGGUGUUGGUGUUGUCCAAGCUUGAUUUGCUACCGAGUUCGUUAUCUCCCACUCGUUUGGAACAUUGGAUUAGGCAAAGGGCUCGGGAGGGUGGGGCGAAUAAGUUGACUAGUGUGCAUAUGGUCAGUGCCGUGAGAGAUUGGGGUGUGAAGAAUUUAAUUGAGGAUGUGGUGAGAUUGGUAGGGUCAAGAGGGAAUGUGUGGGCGAUAGGAGCUCAAAAUGCUGGGAAGUCUACUUUGAUUAAUGCAAUAGGAAAGCAUGUAACUGGAAAGGUAGCACCUAUAACAGAGGCACCUGUACCUGGGACUACAUUGGGGAUAAUAAGGUUGGAUGGUAUCCUUCCCGGAAAGGCAAAGUUGCUCGACACACCGGGUCUCUUACAUCCACAUCAUAUAGCUACUCGGUUGACAAGGGAUGAACAUAAGCUUGUGCAGAUUAAUAAGGAGGUGAAGCCAAGGACUUACAGGAUCAAGGUUGGUCAUACAAUUCAUAUAGCUGGGCUCGCAAGGCUAGAUGUUGAAGAAUUGUCUGUAGAAUCCAUUUAUGUUACCGUCUGGGCUUCACCUUUCUUACCGUUGCAUAUGGGAAAAACAGAGAAUGCUGGUAAAAUGAUAACAGAUCAUUUUGGUCGACAGUUGCAGGAGUUUAAAUGGGAAAUGAUUUGCUGAAAAUAAUACGAGGAAUUGGUGAUGGGAAGGGAUGCAAUGGGGAAUUCAUGCGAUUGGAAGAAGGUGAUAACUGAUAAGAUUUCUGAUACAAGUUUAUGUUACAUUUUAUAGCAAGAAUGUGUCAAAGAAAAAGGAUCAGAUGCUUUGUGUGAAGCAGUCAUCUCUUUCUGAAGUUUCUUCUAUUGGUUCUUUAACAGAGGAAUUUGGUCAUCAUGUUCAGUUGACAACACAAAUUAAAUCUAGUGACUCUGUGAAGUCAGCUGGUGUCGAGUUCUAUCCUUUGGGUGGUGAUCCACGGUUCUAGCCGAAUAUGGCUAUAAAUAUUAGGAGAGGUAAAAAUUCAGAGGAAGCAAUUGCAAGCUACUAUUCGGAACCAGAAAUAAAGACCGGCGCAACAUUUAGAGUUCAAGCAAUCAUUGCUAAGCCGUCUGCCUAUGGUUUGUCGUGGUGGUGGUGGAACUACAGCUGCUGGAUUGAGAGCUGGAAUGGGCUUUAGAAAUGCUGCUUGAUUUCUGUAUGAUGAAGAUGUAUACAAGUUCAUGAGAUAAUUCAAUGCCUUAACUUCCCUAUCAAGUUGCUCUGGUGAUUAUUUGUUAUAAUUGGUUCACCUGCUUGUGAUGGG
RNA transcript from Beta vulgaris subsp. vulgaris (sugar beet), 2337 nucleotides. RefSeq lists it as hypothetical. Lineage: Eukaryota; Viridiplantae; Streptophyta; Magnoliopsida; Caryophyllales; Amaranthaceae. The record is from RefSeq and is a predicted model, not a curated record. The transcript is spliced from 6 exons.